This 584-nucleotide small RNA is filed under the name Pongo abelii (Sumatran orangutan). RNAcentral describes it as "retained intron". Lineage: Eukaryota; Metazoa; Chordata; Mammalia; Primates; Hominidae. The record is from RNAcentral.
AAUUGGUGCUCGGGGGCCCCAGAUUUGUCUCCAAGGCAGCCCCAACUCUGCGUGCCCGGGUCAGCGCUCCUCUCUCCUUCUCUCCCCCGCCGCAGGCUCAGUCUGACGCCGAGGCCCUGGCAGGAGCUCUGGACAAGGACGAGGGUCAGGCCUCCCCAUGUACGCCCAGCACUCCAUCUGUCUGCUCACCGCCCUCUGCCGCCUCCUCCGUGCCGUCUGCAGGCAAGAACAUCUGCUCCAGCUGCGGCCUCGAGAUCCUGGACCGGUAUCUGCUCAAGGUCAACAACCUCAUCUGGCACGUGAGGUGCCUCGAGUGCUCCGUGUGUCGCACGUCGCUGAGGCAGCAGAACAGCUGUUACAUCAAGAACAAGGAGAUCUUCUGCAAGAUGGACUACUUCAGCCGAUUCGGGACCAAGUGCGCCCGGUGCGGCCGACAGAUCUACGCCAGCGACUGGGUGCGGAGAGCUCGCGGCAACGCCUACCACCUGGCCUGCUUCGCCUGCUUCUCGUGCAAGCGCCAGCUGUCCACUGGUGAGGAGUUCGGCCUGGUCGAGGAGAAGGUGCUUUGCCGCAUCCACUACGAC